GAAUAUUGGACAAUGGGGGGAACCCUGAUCCAGCCAUGCCGCGUGUGUGAAGAAGGCCUUUUGGUUGUAAAGCACUGUAAGCGAGGAGGAGGGUACUUUGAUUAAUAAACUAGGAUAGGUGACGUUAGUCGCAGAAUAAGCACCGGCUAACUCCGUGCCAGCAGCCGCGGUAAUACAGAGUGUGCAAGCGUUAAUCGGAUUUACUGGGCGUAAAGCGCUCGUAGGUGGCUAAUUAAGUCAAAUGUGAAAUCCCCGGGCUUAACUUGGGAAUUGCAUUCGAUACUGGUUGGCUAGAGGUUGGGAGAGGAUGGUAGAAUUCCAGGUGUAGCGGUGAAAUGCGUAGAGAUCUGGGGGAAUACCGAUGGCGAAGGCAGCCAUCUGGCCUAAUACUGACACUGAGGUGCGAAAGCAUGGGGAGCAAACA
This 424-nucleotide ribosomal RNA is filed under the name uncultured bacterium. Its description in RNAcentral is "partial 16S ribosomal RNA". It matches the Rfam family "Bacterial small subunit ribosomal RNA", at positions 359 to 774 of the family's 1533-position model. The record is from RNAcentral.